UACGUAGGGGGCAAGCGUUGUCCGGAUUUAUUGGGCGUAAAGAGCGUGUAGGCGGCCUGGCAGGUCAGCUGUGAAAACUCGAGGCUCAACCUCGAGACGUCGGUUGAAACCACCUGGCUAGAGUCCGGAAGAGGAGAGUGGAAUUCCCGGUGUAGCGGUGAAAUGCGCAGAUAUCGGGAGGAACACCGGUGGCGAAGGCGGUUCUCUGGGCCUGUACUGACGCUGAGGAGCGAAAGCGUGGGGAGCGAACAGG
RNAcentral lists this ribosomal RNA (253 nucleotides) under uncultured bacterium. RNAcentral describes it as "partial 16S ribosomal RNA". It matches the Rfam family "Bacterial small subunit ribosomal RNA", at positions 524 to 776 of the family's 1533-position model. The record is from RNAcentral.